This 332-nucleotide unclassified non-coding RNA is filed under the name uncultured fungus. Its description in RNAcentral is "partial contains 5.8S ribosomal RNA, internal transcribed spacer 2, and large subunit ribosomal RNA". Lineage: Eukaryota; Fungi. The record is from RNAcentral.
AACGCAUAUGGCACCCGAGACUUCUGUCGAGGGUAUGUCUGCCUCAGAGUCGGCGUAAACUAUCCACCCGCUGACGCACGCCAUUGGUGUGCUGCGGGUCGGGAGCUGGUCCUCCCAGGCGAAAGGCUGGGUGGGCCGAAGGGGAGAUACGUAGCGGCGCCGGUAAUCCGCCGGCGGGGGGGACCACGAUUUGGUGGGAGGACCUCGGUCCGCGUCAUCGUCGUGUGCGCCACCCUGCCACGCAUGCGGCCCGGUUGGCGAGCCGCCGCGCUCUUUUUAUUAUUUAUUAUCUCUUCGACCUGAGUUCAGGCAAGAUCACCCGCUGAACUUAA